CUCAUAAAAGGGCGGGACAAAGGGUCCCCCAACCCGCGAGGGGGAGCCAAUUUCAGAAACCCCAAAGUAGUCCGGAUCGCAGUCUGCAACUCGACUGCGUGAAGUCGGAAUCGCUAGUAUCGCGGAUCAGAAUGUCGCGGUGAAUACGUUGAGGGUCUUGUACACACCGCCCGUCACACCAUGGGAGUGGGUUUCACCAGAAGUAGGAGAGUAUGACGUAAGGA
RNAcentral lists this ribosomal RNA (224 nucleotides) under Alcaligenes pakistanensis. RNAcentral's name for it is "partial 16S ribosomal RNA". It matches the Rfam family "Bacterial small subunit ribosomal RNA", at positions 1219 to 1447 of the family's 1533-position model. The record is from RNAcentral. Lineage: Bacteria; Pseudomonadati; Pseudomonadota; Betaproteobacteria; Burkholderiales; Alcaligenaceae.